GGCGAGGCCCGGGACCCACCGCCCAGGCCUGGCUGGGACGCACGGGUUCCCCCCCCCCCGCCCCCGGCGGUAGGAGGGGCGCUUAAAGGGAAAACGCGGGUCGGCGAGGUCGUUCAGGGUUGACCUUUGGGCCUCUGGCCAACUUGGGCGGUGGCCGGCGAAUCCCCGCCCAGCCAGGUGUCAGUCCUCGAGGCCAGGCCGGACACCGCCGGAGCGAGGGCCACGGGGACGGGGUGCUGGCGCUGCCCGCGAGACCUGACCCCAGCCCAGCGAGCGCCUUGCUGCCCUCGUCCCGUCCCAGCCCUCCGGAGAGAGGGCCCCGGGGGUCAGGGGCUUGGACGCUCCCGGGGGAAUAUAGGGCCUGGUCGCUGCAUCAAAAUGAAUUUUGUGAAGCGAUUUCCUGCCGCUAUAUUAAAAUGUAACCGGUGAGUUAGCCCGGGCGAGAAAGGAAGUGAAAAGGCUGGGAAUGGAAUCACAUUUUUCCCCUUGGGACGCAGACCCACUGCGAAAUUCUUCCACUGUGUUGUUUGUGUUCUCCGGCUUGCCUUUAAAAGACGAAAUUAUCUGGAUUCUGACAUCCUUCUUUUCAGGCCUGCUGAGUCACGGAAUAUUCUCAGCGCCAGAAUGACUCAGUUCGCAGAACCCGAGCCAGAAGAUCAUGAGUUUCGGUCCUAGAUCAGAACCUGGGCACUGGCCCAAUAUAGAGCAAAUGAUGACUGGGUCCGAGUGACAGUAGCCCAGCAGAAUGCGGCGGUUCUCAGACUUUUGAGUCCUCGAGCAAAGUGGAUGCUCGAAGUGAAUGCCCAGGAUGGAUUUUUUUUUUUUUAAACUUUUCAGAAAAGUAAGAAUACUACACGGUUUUAGAUCCAGUAGGCCUGUUCAGACAGGGAUAGUGGGGAUCUGAAACAAUAAAAUAAGUAAAUGUUAGGUGACUAUGGUUAGGGUCAGUGUUAGUCCCACAAUUACUAAUUAGGAGGGCCUUAGGCAUAAUGGUCUAGUUGGAUUGGGCGGAGGCCUGGGGCGUCCAGAGGACUUUGGCAGAGCCUGCUUUUUGAGUAUAUCAUCAUAUAUUGCUAUGAGGUAUUGUUCGUUUAUUGGAUGAGAUAGGUGGAGAUGAUACAUAGUUAGAAGUCUCAAACCAUUCACCCAGCACCCUCUUUUUGGGAGAAGGAAGUUGUGAGGACAAUAAUAAUGUUUAAUCCUUUCAUACUGGAGUUGAAGCAUCAGUAUAUUCACUUAUACCUAAAGGAGAUGAUAUCCUCAGCUCUUCCUUGUGCUUGGGAACAAAGGAGCAAAGAUAAAGACGUAAGUUGUAAAUAAAGCUACAGAUACUUUAAUAAGUAUAUAUAAUAAAUAUUAAUGCAUUUCCCUUAUUCUACAUUUUCAGGACUUUAUUAAUACCAACAAACUAAAGGAACCUCAUCUGACAUUUGUAAAGCACAUAAAGAGACCUUGACUUCAUCUCUAAAUCCCAUUGUGCAG
Molecule: long non-coding RNA, 1482 nt
Filed under: Heterocephalus glaber (naked mole-rat)
Lineage: Eukaryota; Metazoa; Chordata; Mammalia; Rodentia; Bathyergidae
Description: lncRNA (ENSHGLG00100044658.1)
Source: RNAcentral